This is a non-coding RNA of Schizosaccharomyces pombe (fission yeast), 1171 nucleotides long. NCBI's taxonomy places the organism in Eukaryota, Fungi, Ascomycota, Schizosaccharomycetes, Schizosaccharomycetales, Schizosaccharomycetaceae. The record is from the annotation of a GenBank genome assembly.
UAAUUAUUCGUAAGUUGUUUCCUUGCAACCAUAGGUUCUACAAUCAAAUGAAGUCGCGGUUUCUCAUAAAAUGCAUACCACACUCGAUUGGAAGGAGGUGGCUUUAUUAAAAGUCUAACUUUUCCACUGACAUGAGUUAAUCGAAUUACUAAAGCCAAAGGAACAGUCUUAGAGGGAAAAUGUGACCCAAAUUUAAUGUUUGCAGUUGUUUCUGCCUUAAAACUGCAAUCGCCUUCGUACCAAAUAUCGGCGCUUACGAUUAAUUCACCACCGUUAGAAAGAGAUUCGAACUUUAAACCAUUGACAGUAGGGAUUGCUUCUCCAACGUCAACGUCAAUGACUUUGACAUCUGUCAUUAUACCUGGUGUUUUUAUCCUUGACAGCUUCUUCGUUAGCUUUUCAACAACUAAGCUCUUGAAGCCUUCUGUUUUAUGGAUACCAAGAAAAAUUCUGCCUAUAAAUGCAUUUAACCAAUCUGUGUCUGGUGAAGAAAGAGCAGUAAGAUUGUGAUGGACAGAAGCAUAAUCAAAGUCAAUUGGGGCCUCAAGUGGUUUUAUAGCAGGUGAUAUUUUGGAGUAAGAUAAUAAAGCAUAAUCCAAUCUUCUUUGUUUGAAGGAGUACGUCCAUAAACAUAUAAGUCCUUGUUUAACAAGCUUUUGGUAGAGGAUUCUUUUUUGUGAGAAACUGCAGGAUACUUCAAGAAAAUUGCGUUCCGGUUACUAAAUAAUUCAUUUUCGGUAACCGUUCCUGGAUAAAAGACAACCAAAUACUCAUGUAGGUUGAUUACAUGAAGAAGUUCAGACGUUUUUACGGGGUCGAAAAGAUGUAGUUUACCAGCUUGUACAGUUGCAUAAUAUACAUCUUUGGGGUUUCUUAUGACAUAUUGAUUAUUGAUUCCGGAAGGAGAAAUUGUUUUACGGUCAGUAACUGCGUUAUCAGACGAAGAUUUUGGAAGCUGAUCUUGAGGUAUUUCCUGCACUUUGACGGAACCAGACUUUCCUUGAAGAAAUUUAGUGGUAACCCGGAUCCACCCUUGAAUCCUAAUAUCUUUAUCAAGUUUAGUCAGGCAAUCAUUAUUGGGCUCAAUAAUUCUUAGUUCUUCAGAUUUGUGUGUUGGUCUGGUGAGUAGGUAAAUAAAUAAUAUGAAAGGGAGGAAUGUAACACCUCCCAA